CCUACGGGAGGCAGCAGUGAGGAAUAUUGGUCAAUGGGCGGAAGCCUGAACCAGCCAAGUCGCGUGAGGGAUUAAGGCCCUGCGGGUCGUAAACCUCUUUUGCCGGGGAGCAGUGGUCCGGACGCGUCCGGACCGGGAGAGUACCCGGAGAAAAAGCAUCGGCUAACUCCGUGCCAGCAGCCGCGGUAAUACGGAGGAUGCGAGCGUUAUCCGGAUUUAUUGGGUUUAAAGGGUGUGUAGGCGGGCAUUUAAGCCGGCGGUCAAAUGUCGGGGCUCAACCCCGGCCUGCCGUCGGAACUGGGUGCCUUGAGUGGGCGAGAAGUAUGCGGAAUGCGCAGUGUAGCGGUGAAAUGCUUAGAUAUUGCGCAGAACUCCGAUUGCGAAGGCAGUAUACCGGCGGCGAUCUGACGCUGAGGCACGAAAGCGUGGGUAUCGAACAGGAUUAGAUACCCUUGUAGUC
Molecule: ribosomal RNA, 460 nt
Filed under: uncultured bacterium
Lineage: Bacteria
Description: partial 16S ribosomal RNA
Rfam family: Bacterial small subunit ribosomal RNA
Source: RNAcentral